RNAcentral lists this long non-coding RNA (1678 nucleotides) under Zostera marina. Its description in RNAcentral is "long non-coding RNA (ZMAR_LNC002330)". Lineage: Eukaryota; Viridiplantae; Streptophyta; Magnoliopsida; Alismatales; Zosteraceae. The record is from RNAcentral.
UUGGAUUGAUUGAAUCAGUGUUAAGCUCUCUGAGAUGGUAUCAGAUUUUUUUCAUUGUUAACCGCUUCCUGUUAAUCCGAUUGUCUUCUUCCGCGAUCGUAUUCUUUUCGCGAUUUGCGUCUGGAUCUUGCGUAAUUUGACGGAUUCCAGUUCACCGAAUCCGUCUAGUCUUGUGCUCACAUUCUCUCCAGUUCACGUGGAUUCAAGAUCGGUUGUCGUUCGUGUGCAGCGCGUGGAUUUCUCGCCAAUUGAUUGCAAUAUGCAAUUGCAACUGGUUUGAUUUUUUUAAUUAAUUCAAUCUGCGUGAGUAUGUGUGCGAUUGCAAUCUGCGUGCGUUUUUAUUUUAAUCUGCGUGUGAUUACAAUCGGUUUUGCAUUUGUUUGCGUUUACAGAUUUACCUAUUUGUUUGCGUGUGAUUUGUCUGUGUGAUCUGCGUGAAUAUUCAAUAUUUAAUGUUCGAUUUACCGAUUUACAGAUCGAUUUGCGUUUCCGUAUUUGAUUUGGUUUGCUUCGCGUGAUUUGAUUUAUCGAUUUUCGAUUUCAUUUCUGUGAUUCAAUCUGAUUUCCUUGUGAUUAGAUUUGAUUUAUCGAUUGAUUUUCGAUUUCUCAGCUUACAAUUUCCGAUUGUUUUUCAUCUUCGAUUUCGUUUCGGGGUUUUGAUUUCUUUAUUUUGAUUUCGUUUUCGAGUUAUUUCGAUUUUCGUUUCCGUGUGAUCGAUCUGAUUUGCGUGCGUCGGGAUUGAUUUGCGUUACAGAGUGUAUUGAAGUUACUGAAAUUCUGGAGAAAUAGGCUCAAGAUCAGGAGAAAGAAGAUGAGGAAUUGAUGAUCCUUUUGUUAUUCAUUCAUCUGUUUAUAUACACAUGUUUGAUCUAUUAUCAUUAUUAGUUAUACAACAGAUUCAUUUAUAUCUAAUUAACUAUCUGUUACAACAGAGUGUUUUCUGUUUACAGAUUGAGUUAGAGUUUUUUUUCUUCUUCUUUUAUUUCUGAAAAUUACAGGUCAUGUGCUAUUUUUUUUCCUCUUGCGAUUACAGGUCAGUGAAUUCAUUUUUUUUUUUGUAAUCACAAUUUCUUCAUCUUUUGAUUUGUAAUUACAGUUUCUUUAUCUUUUUAUUAGUAAUUACAGUUUUGUUUUAGUGGUGAUUGUGAUUUCAGUUUUUUUUUUUCUCAUCUCAAAUUUCUUUUGGGAUUGAUAGUUAUUUACGAUUGCUAGUUACAUAGUACUGAACAGUAAAUCAAUUGUGAUUUGCAGAUUGUUUGAUUGUUUGGGAUAAGUUUUUUUAAUAUAUCGUAUUGUCUAGAAGUUUUAUCGCAUUUCAUUUACGAUUCAUUUAGAAAUCUGUAGUGGUGAAAUUUGUUUUAAUUUUUCACUGCAGUGAUUUCUGAUUUUGUUUCCCCGAUGGCAAAUCAUGAUAAGGCCACUCUCCCCGAUGCUCUAUAUAACAAAUGAUCAACUAUAGAAAUGACAAAAAGAGACACUUCAGUGCUCAGCUCUACGCCUCUAUUUUAACUUCAAAGCAACCUUAGUUGGGUACAUUUGACAAUAUCCCGGCAAGAAAUGACUUGCUCCAAUAUAAUGCCAAGGCAUAGAUUUGAGAGUUGAGAGUGCUGUUUAGAUUUAAUGAAAGGGAUAUUGUGCCAGGAUUCGUUGAUGGAUAAUUGAUCGUGGUUUCCAAAAG